GGAGAGGUAGCGAAGUGGUCGUAACGCGACGCACUCGAAAUGCGUUUACGGGUAAACCGUACGUGGGUUCGAAUCCCACUCUCUCCACCA
This 90-nucleotide transfer RNA is filed under the name Oscillospiraceae bacterium. Its description in RNAcentral is "tRNA-Ser". It matches the Rfam family "tRNA". From Rfam's summary of the family: Transfer RNA (tRNA) molecules are approximately 80 nucleotides in length. The record is from RNAcentral. Lineage: Bacteria; Bacillati; Bacillota; Clostridia; Eubacteriales; Oscillospiraceae.